GGCACCGUGAUGAUCAGAAAGGGACUUAAUCCUGAAGAUUUGAUGAUUUAUAUGCAUCUGAUGUGC
Small nucleolar RNA from Paramormyrops kingsleyae, 66 nucleotides. RefSeq annotates it as small nucleolar RNA SNORD82. Lineage: Eukaryota; Metazoa; Chordata; Actinopteri; Osteoglossiformes; Mormyridae. The record is from RefSeq and is a predicted model, not a curated record.